RNAcentral lists this ribosomal RNA (467 nucleotides) under uncultured bacterium. Its description in RNAcentral is "partial 16S ribosomal RNA". It matches the Rfam family "Bacterial small subunit ribosomal RNA", at positions 28 to 506 of the family's 1533-position model. The record is from RNAcentral.
GACGAACGCUGGCGGCGUGCUUAACACAUGCAAGUCGAACGGAAAGGCCCUGCUUUUGUGGGGUGCUCGAGUGGCGAACGGGUGAGUAACACGUGAGUAACCUGCCCUUGACUUUGGGAUAACUUCAGGAAACUGGGGCUAAUACCGGAUAGGAGCUCCUGCUGCAUGGUGGGGGUUGGAAAGUUUCGGCGGUUGGGGAUGGACUCGCGGCUUAUCAGCUUGUUGGUGGGGUAGUGGCUUACCAAGGCUUUGACGGGUAGCCGGCCUGAGAGGGUGACCGGCCACAUUGGGACUGAGAUACGGCCCAGACUCCUACGGGAGGCAGCAGUGGGGAAUAUUGCACAAUGGGCGGAAGCCUGAUGCAGCAACGCCGCGUGCGGGAUGACGGCCUUCGGGUGGUAAACCGCCUUCGCCUGUGACGAAGCGUGAGUGACGGUAAUGGGUAAAGAAGCACCGGCUAACUACGU